GUUUUUGUAGUUGAAUAACAACGGUGGUUUUU
Molecule: transfer RNA, 32 nt
Filed under: Gadus macrocephalus (Pacific cod)
Lineage: Eukaryota; Metazoa; Chordata; Actinopteri; Gadiformes; Gadidae
Description: partial tRNA-Glu
Source: RNAcentral